RNAcentral lists this long non-coding RNA (511 nucleotides) under Gallus gallus (chicken). RNAcentral describes it as "lncRNA (ENSGALG00010019808.1)". The record is from RNAcentral. Lineage: Eukaryota; Metazoa; Chordata; Aves; Galliformes; Phasianidae.
GGAAAGGGCUGUUAUACAAUGGUCCCCAUCAAACAAACAGCUAAGAAGCAGCUUGUUGGAACCAAAUUUGUUCUAAGCUGUCGGCAUCAAUCAUGAGCAGAUUGUUUUGUCAGAGCACACAGCAGGAUGCGUGUUGGACGUCAAUCAGAGGUGACAUAUUGCAGAAGUGGUGGAGGGACAGUGCAGGAAUGUUCUUAUAGCUGCUUGUAAGGAAAUUCUUUCAGAUGUGAAAGUUGUGACUGAUGGGGGAAGAUAAGAAAGUCAGAGGCAUAUACAGAAUAAAUUGCACGUUCUUCUGUUUUCUGUAAGGAGCUACGAUACAUGUUGGAAUGGUAAACUGACAUUCUCUUGACGUUCCAGGCUAGAGCCACCAGCAUCAGACUGUCCCCUGGAUAUAAAUAAUGUUUUCUACAGAGUGAAAGGAGCUCCACAAAGAGGUACUGACAGAGAUCAACCACAGAAUUGCUGACAGCCUGGUGUUUGUAUUUGAUGGUGGAUUAUGAAGUUCAGA